AGCCAGACUCCUACGGGAGGCAGCAGUGGGGAAUAUUGCACAAUGGGGGAAACCCUGAUGCAGCGACGCCGCGUGAGUGAAGAAGUAUUUCGGUAUGUAAAGCUCUAUCAGCAGGGAAGAAGUUGACGGUACCUGAGUAAGAAGCCCCGGCUAACUACGUGCCAGCAGCCGCGGUAAUACGUAGGGGGCAAGCGUUAUCCGGAUUUACUGGGUGUAAAGGGAGCGUAGACGGCAGUGCAAGUCUGAAGUGAAAGCCCCGGGCUUAACCCGGGAACUGCUCUGGAGACUGUACGGCUGGAGUGCUGGAGAGGGAAGCGGAAUUCCUAGUGUAGCGGUGAAAUGCGUAGAUAUUAGGAGGAACACCAGUGGCGAAGGCGGCUUACUGGACAGUAACUGACGUUGAGGCUCGAAAGCGUGGGGAGCAAACAGGAUUAGAUACCCUAGUACCU
RNAcentral lists this ribosomal RNA (449 nucleotides) under uncultured bacterium. RNAcentral describes it as "bacterial SSU rRNA". It matches the Rfam family "Bacterial small subunit ribosomal RNA", at positions 329 to 795 of the family's 1533-position model. The record is from RNAcentral.